CCAAAUUCUUUUGCAUAUGAAGAUACAACAAAUGGUAGACCGAACAAUUUCAGAUUUCGAAUACCACAUCUACAAGACUUUACCUAAUUAAGCUACAUGGGGGAUCCACACCACAAGCUACAAGGUGACCUACACAUGGAAUGCUCCAUAAUCCAUAUUGGAAGUACUUUUAUAAUUGAAAGGGGGACGGUUUAACUCCGAACCGCAGAAUGUAGUUGCAAAAUUCCUGCAAUUUCAACUCAAAUUGAAUGUUCAAUGGACUGGAAGAGGCGAAAAGCUCAUCAACCCUCGACACAAAUCACAGUUUGAUAUCGAAGGAAUUGUUUGGUUGAUCAUGGUAGGAAAGAAGUUAUACUUCCGUAGAUUGACCCGAUUUUCCUUGGUUCUUUCUCAAAGUGAAGUGCAACAAUAAAGUCAAAAGGAGAAAGUCAACUGCUAUUUUAGAUACUUUACGUUAUCAGAGGAGUGGAACAUCAGGCUUUCAUUGGUUAGAAGUUGUCAAAACAGGGAAGCAGUCAGAGUUCCACCACACAAACACACCAAAUGUGCGUGGUUUUUCUUGUACUCCCCAUUUGGCGAAGGAUAAUAUAUGGAUGGCUCAUGGAUGGUGUUAGCCUUCGAAAAUCUUGGUCAACUCUUAAGGUUGUCCUGCAGAGCAUCUUUCAACCUUGGUGUUCUGUGAAAGCCAUUAUGCAAGUGUUUGGGAAUGACACAUCUUUUACAGACUCUGGUUCACCCAUAAGAUAUAUGUCAAGAGCUAUUAAGCAUAUUGCUCAAACAUUAAAUUCAUAAAAAAUCUGAAAAUUAUUUAUUUAUGAUUGCAUAUUUUGAAGUUGGAAAUACUUAAAUAUCUUUUAACACAGGGUAUUGGAGUGUGCAAGGCCUAAUUCUGCUGAGGAAAAACAUGAGUAUAUUAAUAGAUAAACUUGCGACACUUUAUACCAGGAUGCUCAUAGUCAAAUCUUUUAUGGAACUUUUAAAAGCAUGGUCCUGAUCGCAGGUCUUUUGGAAGAGAGACGAUGUUGCAUGUAUCACAGUGCUGGAAUGGUCGUGAUACUUUUUUGGGUCCUUUAGACAGCUCAAGAAACUUUCUAGUCAGGCUCUUGGCUUUCCAACUGAAAGUUAUUUUGAGGAUGCUGAAAGUAUCUUGGAUUUUGCGCCAACCUCGGUGCUGAACUGGCUGCUGUAUGCAGCCGCAAAAACUACCCAUAUGGUAACUUAUAAGCAAGAAAUCAGGAGAAAAUAAUGUGUGACCAUCACUACACGAUGACUUGUUCUUGUUUGAGGAAUUACGAAGUUGAUUAUUUUCCCUGAUUGCAAAUUUGCAAGAGCUCUCUAUUGUGUUAUACGUGCACUUCUCUCCUUUAUCCUCGCAAUUUUGUUGCAAAUAGUGGCAAUUCAUGAAGGUAUUUAGUAAUCUGUUUUCGCCUUCCUCUCCUUUACCCUCUGCUGUAAAUAGGAGCUAUUCACAAAGGUAUUGAUUAUUCUGAAUUUGCCUGGAGCUGUUCUUUUCUAGACUUGUUGAGCUCCAGGCUGCUUUACUUCAAAUGCAAUUGAGCAUUACAUAUGCUUAGUACUUGCAAUGCUGUUGUGUUCGAAGAUUCAACAAAGGUUGAGUAAAGAUUGACAUAGCUUUGUACUUACAAUGCUCAUCUUAAUGGUCGUUGUUUAAGUGACGUCUUUCUGUAGUUAUCUCAUAUUGUUAAGCUGUAUUUGAAGUCAAGUAGUAUGCAUUGUCUCUUGUAUUUGUUUU
Molecule: long non-coding RNA, 1753 nt
Organism: Beta vulgaris subsp. vulgaris (sugar beet)
Lineage: Eukaryota; Viridiplantae; Streptophyta; Magnoliopsida; Caryophyllales; Amaranthaceae
Exons: 8
Source: RefSeq, a predicted model, not a curated record